Molecule: ribosomal RNA, 253 nt
Filed under: uncultured bacterium
Lineage: Bacteria
Description: partial 16S ribosomal RNA
Rfam family: Bacterial small subunit ribosomal RNA
Source: RNAcentral
UACGGGGGGGGCAAGCGUUGUUCGGAAUUACUGGGCGUAAAGGGCUCGUAGGUGGCCAACUAAGUCAGACGUGAAAUCCCUCGGCUUAACCGGGGAACUGCGUCUGAUACUGGAUGGCUUGAAUUCGGGAGAGGGAUGCAGAAUUCCAGGUGUAGCGGUGAAAUGCGUAGAUAUCUGGAGGAAUACCGGUGGCGAAGGCGGCAUCCUGGACCGACAUUGACGCUGAUGAGCGAAAGCUAGGGGAGCAAACGGG